This 186-nucleotide ribosomal RNA is filed under the name uncultured bacterium. RNAcentral's name for it is "partial 16S ribosomal RNA". It matches the Rfam family "Bacterial small subunit ribosomal RNA", at positions 1315 to 1500 of the family's 1533-position model. The record is from RNAcentral.
CCUACACGAAGUUGGAAUUGCUAGUAAUCGUGGAUCAGCAUGCCACGGUGAAUACGUUCCCGGGUCUUGUACACACCGCCCGUCACACCAUGGGAGCUGGUAACACCCGAAGUCAGUAGUCUAACCGCAAGGAGGGCGCGGCCUAAGGUGGGUUCGAUAAUUGGGGUGAAGUCGUAACAAGGUAGC